CAGCCACAGCUACCCUGCCAC
This 21-nucleotide microRNA is filed under the name Mus musculus (house mouse). Its description in RNAcentral is "Mmu-Mir-34-P3b_3p* (star (passenger))". Lineage: Eukaryota; Metazoa; Chordata; Mammalia; Rodentia; Muridae. RNAcentral also lists the same sequence under 1 other name. The record is from RNAcentral.